UCGAACGAGGACCCGGUGCUUGCACCGGUGAGCCGAGUGGCGGACGGGUGAGUAACACGUGACCAACCUACCUUCGGGAGGGGGACAACCUGGGGAAACCCGGACUAAUACCGCAUAUCGUCCACGGGCCGCAUGACCUGUGGAUAAAAGGGAGCCUCUGCUUGCACGCUCUCGCCCGAAGAGGGGGUCGCGGCGUAUCAGCUAGUUGGUGGGGUAAUGGCCUACCAAGGCAUCGACGCGUAGCGGGUCUGAGAGGACGACCCGUCACAUUGGGACUGAGAUACGGCCCAGACUCCUACGGGAGGCAGCAGUGGGGAAUAUUGCGCAAUGGCCGAAAGGUUGACGCAGCGACGCCGCGUGUGGGAGGACGCCCUUCGGGGUGUAAACCACUGUCAGGGGGGAAGAACUUCGUAGGCGUGAACAGCGCUUGCGGUUGACGGUACCCCCAGAGGAAGCGCCGGCUAACUCCGUGCCAGCAGCCGCGGUAAGACGGAGGGCGCAAGCGUUGUUCGGAAUUACUGGGCGUAAAGGGCAGGUAGGUGGUCUGUUAAGUCUUCUGUGAAAAUCCGGGGCUCAACCCCGCGAAAUGCAGG
Molecule: ribosomal RNA, 593 nt
Filed under: uncultured bacterium
Lineage: Bacteria
Description: bacterial SSU rRNA
Rfam family: Bacterial small subunit ribosomal RNA
Source: RNAcentral